GGAUGAUCAUUUCGUUGCAGAAUGUUGCUUGCAAGCAGCACCUUCAAGUUAUCACGGAGUUUACUUUUUACUCAACUUUGCUCAGAAAAGACUUGAAGAUUGUAAGAAAUGUGAAGACCAGUGUAUUUUAAUAAGUUUGGUUAAUAAUCGAUUACAUCGACUAGUAACACUGAUGGAGAUAUUUGAAGAAACAGAAGUUGAUUUUGGG
Molecule: long non-coding RNA, 208 nt
Organism: Limulus polyphemus (Atlantic horseshoe crab)
Lineage: Eukaryota; Metazoa; Arthropoda; Merostomata; Xiphosura; Limulidae
Exons: 3
Source: RefSeq, a predicted model, not a curated record